Long non-coding RNA from Lolium perenne, 1910 nucleotides. RefSeq lists it as uncharacterized. Lineage: Eukaryota; Viridiplantae; Streptophyta; Magnoliopsida; Poales; Poaceae. The record is from RefSeq and is a predicted model, not a curated record.
UCCAAACACACCCUAGACUUCUCUUUCAGGUCAGCAUCAGCUAUCUGUUCCUUCCUUGAUCCCCUUUCUCCUAGCUUGCCCAAACCACGGAAGUCAACACAGGCAGCCGGCGGCGGCGGCGGGCGUAUCCAAGGUGCUGGACGACGACGACCUCCUCAUCAAGAUUCUCCUCCGCGUCGGCUUCCUCACCACCCUCGUCCGCUCCGCCCUCGUCUGCAAGCGCUGGCUAGGGCACGCCUCCGACCGCGCCUUCCUCCGCCGUCUCCGGGAGCUCCACCCGCCCCGCCUCCUCGGCUUCUACAUCGAGGAACUGGGGAUUCGAUCGCCAUCCUUCGUCCCGAUGCUGCCUCAGCCCCCGGAGCUCGCUGCCGUCAUCCGGCACGCAAGCUUCGUCUUGGACGCGCGAGCGUAUCGAACAUCAUCCAUGAAUGCCGGAACGGCAGCGUCUUCAUCGCCUCGUACGGCAGUGGGUGGAAAGGCUAUACAGAGCACAGCCCGCUGUCGCGGUGCCCUGAGAGAUGUGUGUCCACGAGCCACGACCCGGCCAGUGUUAUUACUGCAGGCCGGCCAUUGCUGCAGUUUCAGUCAAGCCCUCUCCAAAGAAGACCAGUUCCUUUUAGUAUGAUCUGGCCUCCCACAUUUCCUGCACUCAAGUAUGAUCCUGCAAGUAAUGCCACAUGAAGAAGAAAAACAAAACAGGAAGGUGAUGGAUGGUAUCUAUGUUGUGACUUGUGAGAAACUAGGGUGGUAUCAACGACAAGCAGUUGUGAGCUGCAUUUCCUUUAGAAGCUAGUAGCAGUUCUAGAUGUCUCUUUCGUAACUUCUAAUGGAUAAAUUCAUUAGGAAAUUACGAUGGCUAUGUAACUGGAGCAGUAUUCUUAUGCCACUCAGAUCUUCGUUUCAUGUGGUGGGAAGAAUACUUCCGGUAUGUUGACUACUUGGAUGCUUAGAUGUAAAUCAUUAGCCACGUAUUGAGCAUACUCCAUCUACGUGGCUAAUGAUUUACGUGAUCAAUCUACGUGUCCUCCUUCUACUUGUAUGUGGAUUUUAUGGACGACGACGAACUAGAACUCAUGGUGUACCUAUAUGCCCUGCAAGAUGGUUUCUGGAUCCCACAUCAUCCCUUGGCCAUAGAUCGACUCCCUCGCCCGCUAUUCGAGCCAAGGUCUGUGCUUGUCGGCAACAAAAUUUAUAUACCGGCGGGCCUGAGCGACAUCAUUGUCCAGGAUUUGAUGGCCUCGAUUCUCUUCACAAUUCAGCUUCCACAAGGCCUGGAGCAUGGUGAAAGCGGCACCGCCAUGUUGGCACGGGCUGCUGAUGCUUCCGGUGUAUAUCUCAUCCACUUGGAGGAGCUUGAACUUUACGCCUGGCUGCACAAGGGAGACAACUGGUUGCUGGUGGAUAUUAUUUGCUUGCGUGAGAUGUGUGUUAAUUUGAGGUUGUCAGAUGAGCAUACUCUUCUUCUUCUCACAAGGCAAGUGGUGGACUAUGGUGACUUUCUGUUUUUGGAGAUGGGUGGAUGCCUACUCCACUUGGAUAUCAAGUGUAGGACACUGUGUAACGUGUAUCAAACAAAAGAGGACCAUUUGAUUGGUGUCAAUCCUUUUAUGAUGAUCUGGCUUCCCACAUUUCUUGCUCUCAUUAUGAUCGAGGUUCUUCCUUUGUCCUUUAGAUGAUCUAUAUACUGUUGUUGUAAAUGUUACAUAGUUUUGCAAUUUAAAUUGUCCUUAACUCUUUAGUACAAUUGUGGAAUUGUGUUAGAUAUAUGAUUGGUUGUUCAGAAUAUUGUAACAAUACUAGUUAAGGGACUUCAGAGAAUGCUUACUGGAAAUGACUUAUUUGGUAUUGUCUGGACCAUCAUCUGUUUCAUCACUGGUUCCUAAACUAUCAGGCAUCCUUAUUUUUCAGAA